CAGUCGCCGCGGUAACACGGAGGGGGCUAGCGUUGUUCAGAAUUACUGGGCGUAAAGCGCACGUAGGCGGCUUGGUAAGUUAGAGGUGAAAGCCUGGAGCUCAACUCCAGAAUUGCCUUUAAGACUGCCGAGCUAGCAGGUGAGAGAGGUAAGUGGAAUUCCGAGUGUAGAGGUGAAAUUCGUAGAUAUUCGGAAGAACACCAGUGGCGAAGGCGGCUUACUGGCUCAUACUGGACGCUGAGGUGCGAAAGCGUGGGGAGCAAACAGGAUUAGAUACCCCUGUAGUCCCUGUCUCUUAUAC
RNAcentral lists this ribosomal RNA (301 nucleotides) under uncultured bacterium. RNAcentral's name for it is "partial 16S ribosomal RNA". It matches the Rfam family "Bacterial small subunit ribosomal RNA", at positions 509 to 807 of the family's 1533-position model. The record is from RNAcentral.